Molecule: unclassified non-coding RNA, 253 nt
Filed under: uncultured Hymenobacteraceae bacterium
Lineage: Bacteria; Pseudomonadati; Bacteroidota; Cytophagia; Cytophagales; Hymenobacteraceae
Description: contains 16S-23S intergenic spacer region
Rfam family: Bacterial small subunit ribosomal RNA
Source: RNAcentral
UACGGAGGGUGCAAGCGUUGUCCGGAUUUAUUGGGUUUAAAGCGUGCGUAGGCGGCCCAUUAGGUCAGAGGUGAAAGCCAACAGCUCAACUGUGGAACUGCCAUUGAUACUGGUGGGCUUGAGUCAAGUCGAGGCGGGCGGAACUGGUGGUGUAGCGGUGAAAUGCAUAGAUACCACCAAGAAUCCCGGUUGCGUAGGCAGCUCGCUAGGCUUUAACUGACGCUGAGGCACGAAAGCGUGGGUAGCGAACAGG